UACGGAGGGUGCAAGCGUUGCUCGGAAUUAUUGGGCGUAAAGGGUAGGUAGGUGGUCUCAUUUGUCUGGGGUGAAAGCCUUGAGCUUAACUCAAGAAGUGCCCCAGAAACGGUGAGACUGGAGUCCUGGAGAGGGUCGUGGAAUUCCGCGUGUAGCAGUGAAAUGCGUAGAUAUGCGGAGGAACACCGAUGGCGAAGGCGGCGUUCUGGACUGCAACUGACACUGUAAAACGAAAGCCAGGGGAGCAAACGGG
Molecule: ribosomal RNA, 253 nt
Filed under: uncultured bacterium
Lineage: Bacteria
Description: partial 16S ribosomal RNA
Rfam family: Bacterial small subunit ribosomal RNA
Source: RNAcentral